GGGCGCUUGGUCUAGGGGUAUGAUUUUCGCUUCGCAUUUCGGUGGUACCCGAAGGCCGCAUGUGAAAGGUCGUGGGUUCAAUUCCCACAGUGUCCA
Molecule: transfer RNA, 96 nt
Rfam family: tRNA
About the family: Transfer RNA (tRNA) molecules are approximately 80 nucleotides in length.
Source: Rfam